Acanthosepion pharaonis is the source of this 113-nucleotide non-coding RNA. The record is from the annotation of a GenBank genome assembly. NCBI's taxonomy places the organism in Eukaryota, Metazoa, Mollusca, Cephalopoda, Sepiida, Sepiidae.
UUACGGUCAUAUCACUUUGAAACACCGGUUUCCGUACGAUUACCGAAGAUAAGCAAAGUCGAGCUUGGUCAGUAACUAGGUGGGUGACCUUUUGUGAAUAGCAGGUGCUGUAA